This 1235-nucleotide unclassified non-coding RNA is filed under the name Daphnia pulex (common water flea). RNAcentral describes it as "deubiquitinase OTUD6B-like, transcript variant X3". The record is from RNAcentral. Lineage: Eukaryota; Metazoa; Arthropoda; Branchiopoda; Diplostraca; Daphniidae.
CAAAUGAGCUGGCAUCGUCUGCUAGCUUUCGAAAAUUCUCAUUUCUCAUGUGUGCUCAGUCAGUUUAGUAGGGGAUUCUUGGUAUAUUUAUGUGCCUAUUGAGGUACAUUUAUUUAUGAUCGCAUGAGAUUACAGAGCUUUUUGGUGUUGUAAUCAUCAUUCGAAAAGAAAGAAUGGCCGAAGAAAAUUCCACCGAUGAAUUAAUAGAAGAGAAGGCUGAAGAGUUGGACGGCGAGGAAGAAUUAUUGGCUCGGCACCGGAAGGAAAAAAAAGAUAUUCAAGCAAAGAUUCAAGCUUUGAAGAAGACAGCAACGAAAGGAGACAAAAAGAAAAAGAAGGACGUGGCUGAGGAGAUUGCCAAGCUAGAAACUGAAAUAGAGACUAAACAUGCUGCAGAAUUGAAGAAAUUUCAGGAAUCCACAGCUGAAACCAAGAAAAUCUCUGAGCAACUAGAAGAUGUAAACUUGGCAGCCAAGGGUGAAGGAAAAGUCACAAAGGCUCAAAGAAGAAGAGACAAAAAACAGGACCAAGCCAAAGAAAGGGUGCAGUUGAUUGAAGAACAGGAGAAAGCUAAUCUUUUGGGAGUCAGGCACACUGAAACCCAGAAAAUCAAAGCAAUACUGGCCAAGCAAAAUCUGACUUUCUUUGAAAUACCAUCUGAUGGCAACUGCAUGUUCGCGGCCAUACUGCACCAAAUUAACCGCGGAGGUGUCUCACAGUCUGUGCAGCAACUUCGCAAUCUUGCGGCAGAAUUUAUGCGUUCAAACGUGGACGAUUUCAUGCCGUUCAUGGACGAGGUGGAAAACGAAGAACAAUACAUGAAAUACUGCGACGAUCUCCAACGAACCGCCACGUGGGGUAGCCAGCUGGAGUUGCGAGCUUUAAGUCAAGUUUUACGACGUCCCUUUGAAGUCGUGCAGGCUGAAGGUCGUCCUGUUAUCAUAGGCGAAGAAUUCACGGAUCCAUCAUCUACUCCGGUACUGCUCACUUACCAUCGCCACAUGUACGGCUUGGGAGAACAUUACAACAGCGUCCAGCCUCGGCCAGCCGACGACGAGGACAAUGACGGCGGCCAAUAAACCAACAUCCCGCCAUCUCUCUCAGUAAUCUCCCACCUUCACCCAAAAGUAAAUGGCCAUGCGCAGGAGGAGAAGAAGAAGAAGAAGAAGUUCCUUUUGAUAAUAAAUCAGAUGAGAAAAUAAAAAAUAAAACGAGGAGAGAGAUUGGAAUCUUUG